This is a non-coding RNA of Dermacentor andersoni, 1371 nucleotides long. NCBI's taxonomy places the organism in Eukaryota, Metazoa, Arthropoda, Arachnida, Ixodida, Ixodidae. The record is from RefSeq and is a predicted model, not a curated record.
GUGCAGGCAUGGCGUGCUACAUCCCACCCAACCGUGAGAAGACGACGCUGAAGCUCGUUCUCCAGGGUGUCGAGAAGGAAGUUAAUCUGCUUCGCAAGCAGGAUGGUUCAGCCAUGGAGACCUCGGAUGGUUAUGUAUACCAGGCAUCAGGUAAGUGAGGCUAGCUGCAUGGUGGCGAGAAACACGUGGUUAGCUGUCAGAUGGAGUCUUAUUAGCGGUAGACUGCGAUUGUUGCUUGUUUCAGGUACCACUUGUAAUUCUGGGAUGUCGUGAUGUGCUGCUUAGACAUUUCAAAUGUUGGUCUUUGCCUUUGCAGACGAGCAAUGUGUCACUUUGCGGUUCGCGGCCAACUAUGAGGACUUGCCCACUCCAGCACAGCCUACGACGCCCGCUUCCGCCGCCGACAGUGACGAUAGGCACCCGCUAGCCACUCUUUCUGAAGCAUCCGCUGAAGACGUAGAACUCUGGAGUAGUCGGAAAACAAAGUUCUUCAUCUCCAAAUACUCGGAGAUGAAGGACUUAGUUGGAAGAAGUAGAGCCUUAAGAACGAGAAAUCUUUUGUGGCUAAAACUUGCGGAACAUGUGAACGAGGAGUUCAGCUGCAACCUCACUGCCACUCAAGUACAAGAUAAAUGGAAAUCGUUGGACCGUUCCUACAAAAAAUCAAAAAAAGAGAACAGUUCGUCUGGGCACCACCGUGUGAGCUGUGAACACGAGCAGCAAGUUGCAAUUGUUUCUUGGCCUGUUCAGUGUUUUAAUAAUUUGUGCAUCACACAGAGAGCUGGCUGACAUACUCGAGAAACAGCACAGUGUGAACCCCACAUUGCUGUUGGAGUCCGGAGCAACAAUCCUGUCAAGUGGAAACUCAGGGGGAAGCACGACAGAUGAACGGCCUGAGAACCUACCAGCGUCAACAGAGGGUGACAGAGCACCAAAGAGGAAGCGGAACAGCCGUUCUAAGCUUGCUCCCCUCUUAGAAGCUAUAGAAAAAAUUGGUGAGGCAAAAAAAAGCAAGAGGAGGCGAGAGCAGAGCAAUUUGAAGCUCGCAAGAAAUGGGAAGAGGCCAAGGCCAAGCGGCAUGAAGAACGCAUGGCUCAAUUUGACCGCUUAGCAGAUUUAUUUGCUAAGCAGCAAAGUACAUCUAGUCAACAAUAAAGUUGUGUUACAACAGCACUACAUGCUCCACUUUCAUUGCAAAGACAUUGCUCAUAUAUGGGGCACUAUAUUAAGAAAAACACUACUAUCACGACCCAUCGCAGAGCUUGAGAUAUCAGGCUAGCACUGCUCUUUGGCAAUAAACUCUCGGAGAGACCGGCUGUAGUCAGGCAGGCUGCAGUCGAAGUCGUCAUUGCCCACAUCUUCUUCCUGUGG